GAAAGCCCGGACUCUCAUAGAAGCCAUUAUUUCGGGGUCUCUUUAAAAAUCGAGCGCCCAUCUCUCCUUUUCUCCCUCCCUCCCUUCUUCCCUCCCUCCUCACCACACCACCCCCAGUGAAAUCCUGGCACCCAGAGAGCGCUCCUUUCAGCCUGAGAGCCCAGAACCAGCCGUUGUCCCCUGGCAAAAAGAGGCCCAGUGCUGAGCCCUGGGCUAGUGUCUCCCGACAUCGCUACCCCUCCUCCCUUUAUAGUUUCCCUUCCCAACAGAAACCAUUUCCUUCUUCCACCAAAACUAGGUUGCAUCCAAAACUUUUUCACAACCUUAAAAAAGAAAAACGAAAAAUUGACAAGCAUUACACAGAAGAGCCCAAAAAAGCUGCAGCAGCUCCAGGGGCGAAGAAGCAGCGUCAGACCCAGGUCUGCAGGACACACCAAAGAACUCCUCCAAGUCACACAAGGGAGAAAACUAACUUCACUGGCUUCUAUCAGGAAAGCUAUUUUUUUUCCUCUUCUUCCCUGCAAGUUUCCCAAACCCCAUGACUCUGAUUUCCAGGUAAUAACACCUCAAUUUUCUCUAAAAGAAACCACACACCCUAUUUCCAGUUCCUGUGGUUUGGCUAUUGCUGACCUUAUGUCCUAGGCUCUAUGACUCAGGCCUCAUCAGUCAGCAUACUUUAUCCAGUCGUCUGUUGGAGCCAACUCAUACAAAGUUGUCCAAACCAACUGGUAAAUGUUCAGAAAUUCCAUGUGCCAGUUGUUAAACAAUCACUAUUAAAAUUUAAAGCACAUAACCUUAUAAUUAAAUUAUGUUAAAAAUGAAGGUAAUGAUACAUCAACCUUAUCACUUCCUAAUCAUUUGACUGCAUUUUACAAUUGUUUAUGCUCCUGAGGUUACUUACAUCUAUUGGAUGUGAUAGUGGAAAUACUGGAUAAUGGUGUGCGGCUAUACAUCUCCUCCCAAUUCCAUGUUCUUUGUCUUCCCUUGAUAGCUUGAAAUUGGCCAUGGUAGCAGUAUUUACACUACAGAACUGCUACAAGAUCAGGGUAUACCCUUUCUUGCCAAAAAGAUUGUUAAACAUUUGGCAGUUGUAGUGGCUUGAAUGGUGGUCCCUAGAAAAAUAUAUGCAAAUCCUAACCUGUGGAACUUGUGAAUGUGACCUUAUUUGUAAAAAGGCCUUUGCAGCUGUAGUAGGUUAAGGAUCUUGAGAUGAAAUCCUCCUGGAUUAUCCAUUUGGGCUCUUAAUAUAAUCGUGUGUGCCCUUAUAGGAUAAAGGCAGAAGCAAUUUGACACAGACACACCAAGGAGACAUAAAGAAAAGAUCAGGAAGCAAUGUGACCACAGAGGCAGAGAUUGGAGUGACAUGGCUGAGGACCAAGGAAUACUUGGAGGCACUUGAUGAGAGCUUGAUGAGAAAGAAACAGAACCUCCCCCCAGAGCUUCCAGAGGUAGCACGGUCCUGCUGACUCCUUGACUUAGCGGUGGUGGCCUCCAUAAAUGUGGGACAAUAAAUUUCUGUUGUUUUAAGCCACCACUUUUUGGUAAUUUGUUAUGGGAGCCACAAGAAACUAUUAAUAAUAUACAAGCUCAGCACUGCAGCACUAGUGUAUGUUCAGGGAUGGGCGUGUGAUACAAGCUAGGGAAUGGGAAGUCAGCUUCUAUCGUAAAACAAACACUCUCCUUUUCCCUGGGGUUGCUGAGUGGUUCCAUCUUUGCAUUAUAUAUGCCUAAGAAUGAAAACAACACAGAAAGUAGUAAAGUUUAGAUUUAAAGAAAGACAUUUCUGUCAACAUUGUUCAAGAAACUGGAUCUAUCCUACCACUGGAUUUUUAAAUAUUACAUAUUAUAUGAGAAAAUUAAUUUCCUUUUUAAAUCAAAUUCCUAUCCAAUAUAUAUAUGUGUCAAUUUUUGGAGAACGUCCCAAAGUGCUCGUCUGCACAGAGAGUGUUUUAAAUACAUACAGUUGCUAUCACUUGGUCAGUUACUAUUUAAAUGAGGCAUAACUAAGAAAGACAAUCAGGAAAAUAUAUACCAAACAGUGAACAAUUUAAGACCUCGCUGAAUUCAAUCACAUUUAUUUGUGCUACAAACACUUAUAUUAAGCCCAACCCUUAUCUAAAGCAUGUGACUCAGGACAGAUAUCCAUAUAUUUAAGAGCUUACAAUUUAUUUGCCAGUAAGGAAUUUGGUAUAGCCCACAUACUGAGGUGAUUAGCAGUAUUAGCUUUUCAUUGUGCACUCUAUAAUUUUCUGAAUAGCUCUAAAUUCAAGUAAUUUUAUUAUUUUUCCUAAACAGAAUUUGGUUAAUGCACAAUUAAAAUACUUUAAAUUUUUUAUGAGAUUGCAUUUAACUACAUCCACAAAUUAUACCAAAAAAUCUUUUGGCAAAUUGAACGCUUUGGGUGGAGAAAUAAGGUGAUUUUCUAUGAUACUGUACCUCUGGUUAAUUUUGUACCUUUGGAUAAUUUUUAUUGUUAGUGUGGAAAAGCACUUUUCUGAAAGGAGCAUGUCACAGAAAACCCCAGGGAUAGCCAUAUUAUAUUAAUUAUUGUGAAAAUAAAAAUAAAAUGCUUUUACAUUCA
Cebus imitator (Panamanian white-faced capuchin) is the source of this 2581-nucleotide long non-coding RNA. RefSeq lists it as uncharacterized. The transcript has 3 exons. NCBI's taxonomy places the organism in Eukaryota, Metazoa, Chordata, Mammalia, Primates, Cebidae. The record is from RefSeq and is a predicted model, not a curated record.